GGCUCAAGGCCGUCAUCCAGCUCGAACCUGCAAAGAGGCAGCGGCCUCUGCCUGCUCUGAUAGGGAAGAGAAGGGUUCUAUCCCUGGAGCUGAUGGCAUGCCAUGGCAGUGC
Molecule: non-coding RNA, 112 nt
Filed under: Alexandrium tamarense
Lineage: Eukaryota; Dinophyceae; Gonyaulacales; Pyrocystaceae
Source: RNAcentral